ACCAAUCCUCACACGAAAACACAGCUCACCAGACCAAUCCUUUCCCGUCCUCGAGCCCCACACCGCCGUCCGGCAUCCCCUGCUCCUCGGCCCUCCGCCGCCUCACGGCCUCUCGCACCGCCACCUUCUCUCCCGGGCCUCCUCCCCAGCGCUCGCGGUGCAGCAGCGUGGGCGCCGCCACGUUCUUGAUCCAGUCGGAUCUGGCGCAGGUCCCCGUCAUCCGGCGCCGCACGCGGUGAUUCCAGAUCGGGCGAGGUCGCCGCCAGGAGAGCAGGAGAGGCUGCUGCAGCGAGUGCAGCGGAGGAGCCCAUCCUGGUCAAGCCCCACCCGGCGGCUGCGUGUGGAGGAGGAGAGGUCGAGGAUGGCCCCAGUUUGUGGAGGAGACGCCCAGCAAAGGUGAGUUCAUUCUUUCUGACCUGGGCUCAUCCACUAAUUCAUGGCUUCCUUUUUUCUGUUUUUAUAUGCUGCAGAUAGGGUUAGCGAGGAGGAGGUUGUCCCCGCGAAGAGGCAGCGUGAGGCUGCACCGGCGCCUCCCCGCGAAGUGGGUAAGGACGCCGUCAGUACGUGAUAAGAUUAGGUGCUGGACUGCUGGGUACCACGUCCACCCCAUGCCCAAAUCACACAGGGCCAUUACACAUAUCAUGGAAACAAGAUGAUUAUUGAUUUCUGCGGCACAAGGCCCUAUCUAUAUUCAAAAUAUAUUCAUUUCUGAAUAAUGCAAUUAGAAGCAAUAGAAGUGUUUGCUGAAAUGGAUUUUCUUACUCGAAAAAAAUAUAUUGUGAGACUUGAAGCAAAGGACGAAGAGUAUAUCUCAACAAUAGGCAAUUAAACAUGGUAAAUAAUUCAUCACGCCCUUAGAUUUUUUUGUUUCUCGUCUGAGAGUUCUGCUCUCCCUUAAAAUAGCAUUUCGGAAAUUGCAUUGACUUUAUGUGAUAUUUAGUCAAGUGCAAACCUUCAGUUAAUUUUGCUGGCACUAUAUUUUCUUUUUGCUGUCAACAGAAUUGGGGACAUUGUGCAUUCGUUGACAUUAACAAGGAUAGCAUGCAUUCUUGAAGUAAGUCUGAUGGCUAGCUUAGCAUUGUGUACAAGCAUAGGAGUUUUUGCUAUAUAUUUUGCAGGCUGAUUUCAAACACUGAAAGAAUAUUUAAUUGAUAGAAUGUACCAUAAAAACCUUACACAUCUUCUCUUUGUAUAUGUUUUAAUUGCUUUCAUGAUUAUCAGUUCCCACUAGGAAUGUACACUUCAGGUUGUGGUGUUGAUCCUUCAGCGUUACACCCUGAGUAUUUAACCAUUAGAUGACUGACCCUAUAAACCUCUUAAAAAAUGCAUUGUUACUUUUUAUGCUGAGCUAACCUUAUUCAGUUUAUGAACAUCUGUACAUGCUGCUACAGAGCAUAAAAAGGAGAAAAUACAAAUUCGUUUGCUGACUGUUCUUGCAUCAAUAGUUUUGUGGUACAAAAUAGGAGCCAAUAGGCUCACUUGUAGUAUUAGACUGUUCUCCUAUGUUACAGCUAGCAGGUUCCAUUUUGUUUCUACGUAUUGUUCGCUAAAGAAGGUUGAAGAGAUACCGCUAUGGGGAAGAAAAAUGUGGUGAGAUGGGGAUUACAGUUUAUUGCAAACUCAGAUGGGAUUAUAGUUUUUGUUUUUUUGUUGAUCAUGUUUUCUUAAGAUAAUUCAUUGAUAGCUGAUUUUGUUGUCUACAGAUUUUCUUAGAAUAGUACCAACAUUGUUCAUACUACUGCUUGUGGGGUCGUCCUCCUGAUUUUGUUAGGAAGCUUUGCUUAUGGUUACCUGCAAAUUGCUCUUGGAUGCAUGUGAUCAUUUAGUUUUAUAUCCAUGCUUGUGUGGUUUGCUCGUGCAGGCCAUCCCUUUCGGUGGCCUGUGUGCAGUCCAUACUACCUGCUUCUUCGUAUUUGCUUGGUAUUUAUUUAUAUAUGGUCAACUCAGAUGGGGUUGCUUUCUAAAUUUAGCACAACUAAUGAUGUUGCUUUAGUAUGUUUUCUUUAGUAUGCUUCCUCAUCCGGCAGACCACCUCCUACAUUAGUAUGUGUGCUUCUGAAUUUAGCACGAUAACUAUUGAUGUUGCUUUAGUACGUUUUCUUUAGGAUCCAAUGGGCGACCACUUCCUCUUUACACAUGAAAUGCUUCUUCUUUCUCACUAAUGCAUGCUAUUAUCAGCCUUUCAUUUUCCUCACUAAUGCAUGCAAGUUAAUUAACUAUCUAAUAGAACGAAACUCUGCGUCUAGGGUCCAGUAGGUGUUCUGUUUGCUGUUUACUAAUGGUCUGAUCUAUUUAUUGUUGCAUGUGCAAAUAGUGAUCCUUGUUGCUCACUGAUACAUGCAGGUUUAUUAACCUUUUCCUUUUCUUCCCAUAAAUUUUCUUUGAUUCAGUUAUUUGACUAAAUAGUAUUAUAUGCCCAGGGUUAAUUAGUACCUAAAAUGCUACCUUCAGUUUCUGCAAUUGUUAUUAUGUUCCAUUGGUUCAGUCCUGUAGUUCAGUAGUUCCAGUGGAUUUUGCUAAAUGGUUUUGCAUCUAUAAUUAGUAAAAAAAGGCCUCGGUUGGUUUCUGCAAUAAUUUCCCUCAAGCUUUCUACAGUCGGAUAUUUAUUAGUUAUUACACAUAUAGAGCUCUUUAAUUUCUUUGUUUAUAAUAUGACAUUCCCUCAUUAGUUUUCUGUUAUGUGGAGGAUAUUUUUCUUUUGCUGUGACAUGUGCUUUGUUAUGUGCAGGUUGCAGUCACAAGGAUGAUCUGGCCGACCAUGUCAGCAAGGCCAAUGCAACAGAGUUGAAGGAAAUAUUACGACAUGAACGGUGUGAUGACCCGUGUGCAACCUCAACAAGUGUGAAAGUACCCUUCGUUAAAGUUUGUGUUUUCUGCACAAGUUGUGGUUUAUACUUAACAGGGAAAAAAUGAUUAUGUGAUAUAGUAAAGAGAGUUGUUUCUAACCUGCUACGCAACAAGGAUUGCAACAUUUUGCAGUCUCUUAGGCUGUUGAAGAGAAUGGAGGAAACUGAAGGCGCUAACAGUUCCUGUUUGAAGGUCAUCACGGACUAUAAUUGCUACGAAGUUUAUGUUGACAGAUUUGUUUGUUUUUUCCUUUUUAAGAAUCAGUUAUUUUUGUAAGCACCACUAAGCCUACCUUGCAGACCAUCUUGGUGUUUUAGCAACAACAGUGAACAUCUUUGUUCUCUUUUUCAACUUCUUUUCAAUAAUCAAUAGCACAAAUAGAUAUGCUUUUACCUAUAUAACCUCUACUGUUGUUCCUCAUCGAUCUAUUGAUAUCCAUAAUGCCACCCUUAUCUAUAA
Triticum aestivum (bread wheat) is the source of this 3306-nucleotide long non-coding RNA. RefSeq lists it as uncharacterized. The transcript has 3 exons. NCBI's taxonomy places the organism in Eukaryota, Viridiplantae, Streptophyta, Magnoliopsida, Poales, Poaceae. The record is from RefSeq and is a predicted model, not a curated record.